GAUGAAGAACGCAGCGAAAUGCGAUACGUAAUGUGAAUUGCAGAAUUCAGUGAAUCAUCGAGUCUUUGAACGCACAUUGCGCCCCCUGGUAUUCCGGGGGGCAUGCCUGUCCGAGCGUCAUUGCUGCCCUCAAGCCCGGCUUGUGUGUUGGGUCUCGUCCCCCUUCCCGGGGGGACGGGCCCGAAAGGCAGCGGCGGCACAGCGUCCGGUCCUCGAGCGUAUGGGGCUUUGUCACCCGCUCUGUAGGCCCGGCCGGCGCUUGCCGAUCAACCAAAACUUUUUUCCAGGUUGACCUCGGAUCAGGUAGGGAUACCCGCUGAACUUAAGCAUAUCAAUAAGCGGAGGA
This 346-nucleotide unclassified non-coding RNA is filed under the name soil metagenome. RNAcentral describes it as "partial contains 5.8S ribosomal RNA, internal transcribed spacer 2, and large subunit ribosomal RNA". The stretch from base 1 to 120 matches the Rfam family "5.8S ribosomal RNA", at positions 35 to 154 of the family's 154-position model. The record is from RNAcentral.